Molecule: ribosomal RNA, 253 nt
Filed under: uncultured bacterium
Lineage: Bacteria
Description: partial 16S ribosomal RNA
Rfam family: Bacterial small subunit ribosomal RNA
Source: RNAcentral
UACGUAGGGGGCAAGCGUUGUCCGGAUUUAUUGGGCGUAAAGAGCGUGUAGGCGGUUAUGCAGGUCGGCUGUGAAAACUGGAGGCUUAACCUCCAGACGUCGGUGGAAACCGUAUGACUAGAGUCCGGAAGAGGAGAGUGGAAUUCCUGGUGUAGCGGUGAAAUGCGCAGAUAUCAGGAAGAACACCCGUGGCGAAGGCGGCUCUCUGGGACGGUACUGACGCUGAGACGCGAAAGCGUGGGGAGCGAACAGG